This 1372-nucleotide ribosomal RNA is filed under the name uncultured bacterium. RNAcentral's name for it is "bacterial SSU rRNA". It matches the Rfam family "Bacterial small subunit ribosomal RNA", at positions 28 to 1381 of the family's 1533-position model. The record is from RNAcentral.
GAUGAACGCUGGCGGCGUGCCUAAUACAUGCAAGUCGAGCGAACGGACGAGAAGCUUGCUUCUCUGAUGUUAGCGGCGGACGGGUGAGUAACACGUGGAUAACCUACCUAUAAGACUGGGAUAACUUCGGGAAACCGGAGCUAAUACCGGAUAAUAUUUUGAACCGCAUGGUUCAAAAGUGAAAGACGGUCUUGCUGUCACUUAUAGAUGGAUCCGCGCUGCAUUAGCUAGUUGGUAAGGUAACGGCUUACCAAGGCAACGAUGCAUAGCCGACCUGAGAGGGUGAUCGGCCACACUGGAACUGAGACACGGUCCAGACUCCUACGGGAGGCAGCAGUAGGGAAUCUUCCGCAAUGGGCGAAAGCCUGACGGAGCAACGCCGCGUGAGUGAUGAAGGUCUUCGGAUCGUAAAACUCUGUUAUUAGGGAAGAACAUAUGUGUAAGUAACUGUGCACAUCUUGACGGUACCUAAUCAGAAAGCCACGGCUAACUACGUGCCAGCAGCCGCGGUAAUACGUAGGUGGCAAGCGUUAUCCGGAAUUAUUGGGCGUAAAGCGCGCGUAGGCGGUUUUUUAAGUCUGAUGUGAAAGCCCACGGCUCAACCGUGGAGGGUCAUUGGAAACUGGAAAACUUGAGUGCAGAAGAGGAAAGUGGAAUUCCAUGUGUAGCGGUGAAAUGCGCAGAGAUAUGGAGGAACACCAGUGGCGAAGGCGACUUUCUGGUCUGUAACUGACGCUGAUGUGCGAAAGCGUGGGGAUCAAACAGGAUUAGAUACCCUGGUAGUCCACGCCGUAAACGAUGAGUGCUAAGUGUUAGGGGGUUUCCGCCCCUUAGUGCUGCAGCUAACGCAUUAAGCACUCCGCCUGGGGAGUACGACCGCAAGGUUGAAACUCAAAGGAAUUGACGGGGACCCGCACAAGCGGUGGAGCAUGUGGUUUAAUUCGAAGCAACGCGAAGAACCUUACCAAAUCUUGACAUCCUUUGACAACUCUAGAGAUAGAGCCUUCCCCUUCGGGGGACAAAGUGACAGGUGGUGCAUGGUUGUCGUCAGCUCGUGUCGUGAGAUGUUGGGUUAAGUCCCGCAACGAGCGCAACCCUUAAGCUUAGUUGCCAUCAUUAAGUUGGGCACUCUAAGUUGACUGCCGGUGACAAACCGGAGGAAGGUGGGGAUGACGUCAAAUCAUCAUGCCCCUUAUGAUUUGGGCUACACACGUGCUGCAAUGGACAAUACAAAGGGCAGCGAAACCGCGAGGUCAAGCAAAUCCCAUAAAGUUGUUCUCAGUUCGGAUUGUAGUCUGCAACUCGACUACAUGAAGCUGGAAUCGCUAGUAAUCGUAGAUCAACAUGCUACGGUGAAUACGUUCCCGGGUCU